CCUACGGGAGGCUGCAGUAGGGAAUCUUCGGCAAUGGACGGAAGUCUGACCGAGCAACGCCGCGUGAGUGAAGAAGGUUUUCGGAUCGUAAAGCUCUGUUGUAAGAGAAGAACGAGUGUGAGAGUGGAAAGUUCACACUGUGACGGUAUCUUACCAGAAAGGGACGGCUAACUACGUGCCAGCAGCCGCGGUAAUACGUAGGUCCCGAGCGUUGUCCGGAUUUAUUGGGCGUAAAGCGAGCGCAGGCGGUUAGAUAAGUCUGAAGUUAAAGGCUGUGGCUUAACCAUAGUACGCUUUGGAAACUGUUUAACUUGAGUGCAGAAGGGGAGAGUGGAAUUCCAUGUGUAGCGGUGAAAUGCGUAGAUAUAUGGAGGAACACCGGUGGCGAAAGCGGCUCUCUGGUCUGUAACUGACGCUGAGGCUCGAAAGCGUGGGGAGCGAACAGGAUUAGAUACCCGAGUAGUC
RNAcentral lists this ribosomal RNA (465 nucleotides) under uncultured Streptococcus sp. RNAcentral's name for it is "bacterial SSU rRNA". It matches the Rfam family "Bacterial small subunit ribosomal RNA", at positions 338 to 795 of the family's 1533-position model. Lineage: Bacteria; Bacillati; Bacillota; Bacilli; Lactobacillales; Streptococcaceae. The record is from RNAcentral.